CUUGGUCAUUUAGUGGAAGUAAAAGUCGUAACAAGGUCUCCGUUGGUGAACCAGCGGAGGGAUCAUUACCGAGUUUACAACUCCCAAACCCAAUGUGAACCAUACCAAACUGUUGCCUCGGCGGGGUCACGCCCCGGGCGCGUCGCAGCCCCGGAACCAGGCGCCCGCCGGAGGGACCAACCAAACUCUUUUCUGUAGUCCCCUCGCGGACGUUAUUUCUUACAGCUCUGAGCAAAAAUUCAAAAUGAAUCAAAACUUUCAACAACGGAUCUCUUGGUUCUGGCAUCGAUGAAGAACGCAGCGAAAUGCGAUAAGUAAUGUGAAUUGCAGAAUUCAGUGAAUCAUCGAAUCUUUGAACGCACAUUGCGCCCGCCAGUAUUCUGGCGGGCAUGCCUGUCCGAGCGUCAUUUCAACCCUCGAACCCCUCCGGGGGGUCGGCGUUGGGGACCUCGGGAGCCCCUAGGACGGGAUCCCGGCCCCGAAAUACAGUGGCGGUCUCGCCGCAGCCUCUCCUGCGCAGUAGUUUGCACAACUCGCACCGGGAGCGCGGCGCGUCCACGUCCGUAAAACACCCAACUUCUGAAAUGUUGACCUCGGAUCAGGUAGGAAUACCCGCUGAACUUAAGCAUAUCAAUAAGCGGAGGA
Molecule: ribosomal RNA, 645 nt
Filed under: Trichoderma atroviride
Lineage: Eukaryota; Fungi; Ascomycota; Sordariomycetes; Hypocreales; Hypocreaceae
Description: eukaryotic LSU rRNA
Rfam family: 5.8S ribosomal RNA (bases 254-407)
Source: RNAcentral